AUUGAACGCUGGCGGCAGGCCUAACACAUGCAAGUCGAGCGGAUGAAGGGAGCUUGCUCCUGGAUUCAGCGGCGGACGGGUGAGUAAUGCCUAGGAAUCUGCCUGGUAGUGGGGGAUAACGUCCGGAAACGGGCGCUAAUACCGCAUACGUCCUGAGGGAGAAAGUGGGGGAUCUUCGGACCUCACGCUAUCAGAUGAGCCUAGGUCGGAUUAGCUAGUUGGUGGGGUAAAGGCCUACCAAGGCGACGAUCCGUAACUGGUCUGAGAGGAUGAUCAGUCACACUGGAUCUGAGAAACGGUCCAGACACCUACGGGAGGCAGCAGUGGGGACUCUUACGGGAUGCGCCAAAGCGUGAUCCAGCCAUGCGGCGUGAGUGCAGAACGUCUUCGGCUUGGAGAGCACUGAAAGUUGGGGGGUAGUAAAGUAAGUUUAUACGUUACUAUUAUGACGGUACCAACAGAAUAAGCACCGGCUAACUCCGUG
RNAcentral lists this ribosomal RNA (484 nucleotides) under uncultured bacterium. Its description in RNAcentral is "partial 16S ribosomal RNA". It matches the Rfam family "Bacterial small subunit ribosomal RNA", at positions 30 to 507 of the family's 1533-position model. The record is from RNAcentral.